Molecule: ribosomal RNA, 378 nt
Filed under: uncultured Pseudomonas sp.
Lineage: Bacteria; Pseudomonadati; Pseudomonadota; Gammaproteobacteria; Pseudomonadales; Pseudomonadaceae
Description: bacterial SSU rRNA
Rfam family: Bacterial small subunit ribosomal RNA
Source: RNAcentral
GAGGACGCUUCCUUCGGGAAGCGAGCGUACACAGGUGCUGCAUGGCUGUCGUCAGUUCGUGUCGUGAGAUGUUGGGUUAAGUCCCGUAACGAGCGCAACCCUUGUCCUUAGUUACCAGCACGUUAUGGUGGGCACUCUAAGGAGACUGCCGGUGACAAACCGGAGAAGGUGGGGAUGACGUCAAGUCAUCAUGGCCCUUACGGCCUGGGCUACACACGUGCUACAAUGGUCGGUACAAAGGGUUGCCAAGCCGCGAGGUGGAGCUAAUCCCAUAAAACCGAUCGUAGUCCGGAUCGCAGUCUGCAACUCGACUGCGUGAAGUCGGAAUCGCUAGUAAUCGUGAAUCAGAAUGUCACGGUGAAUACGUUCCCGGGCCUU